RNAcentral lists this ribosomal RNA (253 nucleotides) under uncultured bacterium. Its description in RNAcentral is "partial 16S ribosomal RNA". It matches the Rfam family "Bacterial small subunit ribosomal RNA", at positions 524 to 776 of the family's 1533-position model. The record is from RNAcentral.
UACAGAGGUCUCAAGCGUUGUUCGGAUUCAUUGGGCGUAAAGGGUGCGUAGGCGGCGCGGUAAGUCGGGUGUGAAAUCUUGGAGCUUAACUCCGAAACUUCAUUCGAUACUGCCGUGCUUGAGGACUGGAAAGGAGACUGGAAUUUACGGUGUAGCGGUGAAAUGCGUAGAUAUCGUAAGGAAGACCAGUGGCGAAGGCGGGUCUCUGGACAGUUCCUGACGCUGAGGCACGAAGGUCAGGGGAGCAAACGGG